GACGAACGCUGGCGGCGUGCUUAACACAUGCAAGUCGAGCGGUAAGGCCCUUUCGGGGGUACACGAGCGGCGAACGGGUGAGUAACACGUGGGUGACCUGCCCUUAGCUCUGGGAUAAGCCUGGGAAACUGGGUCUAAUACCGGAUAUGACUCCAUGACGCAUGUUGUGGGGUGGAAAGCCUUGUGCGGCUAGGGAUGGGCCCGCGGCCUAUCAGCUUGUUGGUGGGGUGAUGGCCACCAAGGCGACGACGGGUAGCCGGCCUGAGAGGGCGACCGGCCACACUGGGACUGAGACAUGGCCCAGACUCCUACGGGAGGCAGCAGUGGGGAAUCUUGCGCAAUGGGCGAAAGCCUGACGCAGCGACGCCGCGUGAGGGAUGACGGCCU
RNAcentral lists this ribosomal RNA (387 nucleotides) under uncultured bacterium. RNAcentral describes it as "bacterial SSU rRNA". It matches the Rfam family "Bacterial small subunit ribosomal RNA", at positions 28 to 417 of the family's 1533-position model. The record is from RNAcentral.